This is a long non-coding RNA of Oncorhynchus nerka (sockeye salmon), 1575 nucleotides long. RefSeq lists it as uncharacterized. The transcript has 3 exons. NCBI's taxonomy places the organism in Eukaryota, Metazoa, Chordata, Actinopteri, Salmoniformes, Salmonidae. The record is from RefSeq and is a predicted model, not a curated record.
AUUAAUCAAUCAGCUUUGAUAUCCGGGAAAUGUGCCUAUAUUCCGGGGCUGGAGUGUGUGGUCGGCUACGCUAGACUGUUUUGCUUCUAAACGUUCGUUAUUAACUUAAUUUCAAUAGUGAGCAGGACAUAUAUUCAAACUUACAUUCGUUUCGCAGUAAAGAACAUCCACCAUAGAAAGGGCUGCGUUGACAAUUGACAGCGCAUAUCGUGAAAUUGGAUCUCAGCUGACAAGGACUGGAACUUGUGGACACACGUGAUCAAUUUAAAGCGUUUCAUCGUCAUUAUCUAUCUGCUGCCUUCGACACUGUGAACCAUCAGAUCCUCCUCUCCACCCUCUCAGGGCUGGGUGUCUCAGGCUUUGUCUUGGAUUGCAUCCUACCUGGCAGGCCUCUCCUACCAGGUGGUGACACACAUCUCUGCGUACCUGGCAGAUAUCUCAGCUUGGAUGUCUGCCCACCACCUCAAGCUCAAACUCGACAAGACGGCGCUGCUCUUCCUCCUGUGGAAGGCUGCCCACUCCAGGACCUCUCCAUCACUGUGUCCCCCUCCCAGAACGCAAAGAACAUUGGCGUGACCCUGGACAACACCCUGUGGUUCUCUGCAAACAUCCAUUCUCUGCAAACAUCAAAGCAGUGACUUACUCCAGCAUGUUCAUGCUCUACAACAUCCGUAGAGUAUGACCCUACCUCAAACAGGAAGUGGCACAUGUCCUAAUCCAGGCACUUGUCUUCUCUCAUCUGGACUACUGUAACUCGCUGUUGGUUGGGCUCACCGCUUGUGCCAUCAAACCCCUGCAACUCAUAAAGAAUGUUACAGCCCACCUGGUGUUUAGUCUUCCCAACUUCUCCCACAUCACCCCACUCCUCCGCACACUCAACUGGCUUCCAGUUGAAGCUUGCAUCCACUACAAGACCAUGGUACUUGAAGCAGCAAUUGGAACUGCCCCUCCAUACCUUCAGGUUAUGCUUCCUCCUGAAGCUAGGACAGCAGAGUCCCUCCCCAUCUUCUGAAAACAUCUGAAACCCAACUUGUUCAAGAGUAUCUUGAAUAAUCCCAAAGAACCCCCUCUCACACCCCUUCCUCACCCCGAUGCUGCAGCCCGGCCUCCUAGUGUUCAACCUUCCCAAGAUCGCACACUUUAAUGGCUUGCAGUCGAAGCUCGCAUCCACUACAAGACCAUGGUAAUUGCCUAUGGAGCAGCAAGAGGAACUGCCCCUCCCUACCUUCAGGCUAUGCUCAAACCCUACACUCCAACCGUAGCACUCUCUUCUGUCACCUCUGGUCUUUUUGCCCUCCCACACCUACGGAAGGACAGCUCCCGCUCAGCCCAGUAAAUUCUCUUCUCCAUCCUGGCACGCCAAUGUUGUAACCUGCUUCCUCCUGAAGCUAGGACAGCACUGCCCACAUUCCGAAAACAUCUGAAAUAAAUGUGAUCAAAAUGCCAUUGCGCUUUCUUUUAGAGUCUAUCAUGAUCCAGUUCCAACAUCUCAAAAUCAUACAACAAAUUAGGGCGUUUUUGUUAUGAUAAAAGGUGAAUGGAGGGCGUUUUCCAGCCGGGGAUGUAGUGCUCGUC